AGCAGUGGGGAAUUUUCCGCAAUGGGCGAAAGCCUGACGGAGCAAUGCCGCGUGAAGGCAGAAGGCCCACGGGUCAUGAACUUCUUUUCUCGGAGAAGAAAAAAUGACGGUAUCUGAGGAAUAAGCAUCGGCUAACUCUGUGCCAGCAGCCGCGGUAAGACAGAGGAUGCAAGCGUUAUCCGGAAUGAUUGGGCGUAAAGCGUCUGUAGGUGGCUUUUCAAGUCCGCCGUCAAAUCCCAGGGCUCAACCCUGGACAGGCGGUGGAAACUACCCAAGCUGGAGUACGGUAGGGGCAGAGGGAAUUUCCCGGGUGGAGCGGUGAAAUGCGUUGAGGAUCGGAAAAGAACCACCACGGGCGAAAGCACUCUGCUGGGGCCGACACUGACACUGAGA
Molecule: ribosomal RNA, 393 nt
Filed under: uncultured bacterium
Lineage: Bacteria
Description: bacterial SSU rRNA
Rfam family: Bacterial small subunit ribosomal RNA
Source: RNAcentral